Molecule: ribosomal RNA, 253 nt
Filed under: uncultured bacterium
Lineage: Bacteria
Description: partial 16S ribosomal RNA
Rfam family: Bacterial small subunit ribosomal RNA
Source: RNAcentral
UACGUAGGCAGCGAGCGUUGUUCGGAGUUACUGGGCGUAAAGAGUGCGUAGGCGGUUUUCUAAGUUUGGUGUGAAAUCUCCCGGCUUAACUGGGAGGGUGCGCCGAAGACUGGAAGGCUUGAGUAUGGGAGAGGUAAGCGGAAUUCCUGGUGUAGCGGUGAAAUGCGUAGAUAUCAGGAGGAAUACCGAUGGUGAAGGCAGGUCUCUGGGCUGACACUGACGCUCAUGCACGAAAGCGUGGGGAGCAAACAGG